RNAcentral lists this transfer RNA (542 nucleotides) under uncultured Prochlorococcus sp. RNAcentral's name for it is "partial 16S-23S ribosomal RNA intergenic spacer". The stretch from base 212 to 284 matches the Rfam family "tRNA". The record is from RNAcentral. Lineage: Bacteria; Bacillati; Cyanobacteriota; Cyanophyceae; Synechococcales; Prochlorococcaceae.
CAGGGAGACAACAAAAUGUUUAAUAUUAUUAUUUUGUCACCUUAGGUCGAUCGGUAUCUCACGUUCUUAAUUUGUUAAGAAUUUCAUUUCCUAAGUUUUUCUAGGUCACACCCAUUAUUUUUCCUGGGCCAUUAGCUCAGGUGGUUAGAGCGCACCCCUGAUAAGGGUGAGGUCCCUGGUUCAAGUCCAGGAUGGCCCAUAUCUCUAUGUUGGGGGUAUAGCUCAGUUGGUAGAGCGCCUGCUUUGCAAGCAGGAUGUCAGCGGUUCGAGUCCGCUUACCUCCACUGAUUACCACCUCUUCCAUAACCGGUAGAAAGGAAAUGUUUUGAGUUGUGAUCAUUAUUCUGAAAGAAUCUAGCUUCCUAAUGAAAUCAUUAAGAUGCUGGACUCAUUGAAUUAAUUUCAUUGUUUUCAGAGAACCUUGACAACUGCAUAGAUUUUUUUUAAAGACAAUAAGCAUCUUUAAUGAUGCAGAUUUAUUAUUUGUGCGAAUGCAUUAAUAACAAUUCUAUUAAGCUGAUGCUUCAAUUUUUGAAGUUAUU